This 1080-nucleotide long non-coding RNA is filed under the name Oryctolagus cuniculus (rabbit). Its description in RNAcentral is "lncRNA (ENSOCUG00000031076.1)". The record is from RNAcentral. Lineage: Eukaryota; Metazoa; Chordata; Mammalia; Lagomorpha; Leporidae.
UUGAUAGUGGCAGGGGAACAUUUGGGGGACACCAGGAGUGUCUGCUCUAAUGAUUUGUGUGUUCACACACGUGCAUGUGUGUGUGUCUCACUGGUCAGGACCAUAGGCUAUUGGAUUUUUUUUUUUUUGGACAAAGUGGACAGUGAGAGAGAGACAGAGAGAAAGGUCUUCCUUUGCCGUUGGUUCACCCCCCAAUGGCUGCUGCGGCUGGCGCACUGCGCUGAUCUGAAGCCAGGAGCCAGGAGCCAGGUGCUUCUCCUGGUCUCCCAUGCAGGUGCAGGGCCCAAGGACUUGAGCCAUCCUCCACUGCACUCCCAGGCCACAGCAGAGAGCUGGCCUAGAAGAGGGGCAACCGGGACAGAAUCCGGCACCCCGACCGGGACUAGAACCCAGUGUGCCGGCACCGCAGGCAGACGAUUAGUCUAGUGAGCCGCGGCGCCAGCCAAGGCUGUUGGAUAUUAUGACCUUCCUUGCUUCUGGGGUGGGUCAUGAAAGCAAAGGACAGUGCCGUGUGCAGUCGUGUGGGAUGCAGGCGACCCCAUAAGGCCCCUUCACAUCAUGUCUAUCAGCACCAAGCCCAGUGCAGGAGGUUUUACAGAGAUACUCAACAAGUAAUGGAAAAACUGAAUUGAAAGGUAAGUUCAUGUUGUUGCCAACAAUUUUGAAAUCCACACAUAAUUUUUCAUAACACCCACUUCCAUGAACUUUUUGAAAAUACCUGUGGGGCCGGUGCUGUGGCUUAACGGGUAAAGCCGCUGCCUGCAGGGCCAGCAUCCCUUAUGGUCGCCGGUUCAUGUACCGACUACUCCACUUCUGAUCCAGCUCUCUGCUGUGGCCUGUGAAAGCAGUAGAAGAUGGCCCCAGUCCUUGGGCCCCUGUACCCACAUGGGAGACCCAGAAGAAUCUCCUUGUUCCUGGCUUCAGACUGGUGCAGCUCCAGCUGUUGUACCCAUUAGGGAGUGAACCAGCAGAUGCAAGACCUUUCCCUCCCUCUUUCUCUCUCUCUCUGCCUCUCCUUCUCUCUAUGUGUAACUCUGACUUUCAAAUAAAUAAAUAAAUAACUUUUUUUAAUAAAGAAGA